AGGCCUUAUACAUGCAAGUCGAGGGGCAGCAUAGAUUGCUUGCAAUCUGAUGGCGACCGGCGAACGGGUGCGUAACGCGUAUGCAACUUACCUUUUACUAGGAGAUAGCCAAGAGAAAUUUUGAUUAAUAUCCUAUACAAUUAUUUUUUCGCAUGAAUUAAUAAUAAAAGCUCAGGCGGUAAAAGAUGGGCAUGCGUCCUAUUAGCUAGUAGGUGAGGUAAAGGCUCACCUAAGCAACGAUAGGUAGGGGUCCUGAGAGGGAGAUCCCCCACACUGGUACUGAGACACGGACCAGACUUCUACGGAAGGCAGCAGUAAGGAAUAUUGGACAAUGGAGGCAACUCUGAUCCAGCCAUGCCGCGUGCAGGAAGACGGCCUUAUGGGUUGUAAACUGCUUUUAUACAGGAAGAAACCUGCUCACGUGUGAGCAGCUGACGGUACUGUAAGAAUAAGGAUCGGCUAACUCCGUGCCAGCAGCCGCGGUAAUACGGAGGAUCCAAGCGUUAUCCGGAAUUAUUGGGUUUAAAGGGUCCGCAGGCUGUUUGUUAAGUCAGAGGUGAAAUCCUACCGCUCAACGGUAGAACUGCCUUUGAUACUGACAAACUUGAGUUAUUGUGAAGUAAUUAGAAUGUGUAGUGUAGCGGUGAAAUGCAUAGAUAUUACACAGAAUACCGAUUGCGAAAGCAGAUUACUAACAAUAUACUGACGCUGAGGGACGAAAGCGUAGGUAGCGAACAGGAUUAGAUACCCUGGUAGUCUACGCCGUAAACGAUGGUCACUAGCUGUUCGAUAUACAUUGGUAUGUUGAGUGGCUAAGCGAAAGUGAUAAGUGACCCACCUGGG
This 843-nucleotide ribosomal RNA is filed under the name uncultured Flavobacteriaceae bacterium. Its description in RNAcentral is "bacterial SSU rRNA". It matches the Rfam family "Bacterial small subunit ribosomal RNA", at positions 44 to 877 of the family's 1533-position model. The record is from RNAcentral. Lineage: Bacteria; Pseudomonadati; Bacteroidota; Flavobacteriia; Flavobacteriales; Flavobacteriaceae.